Long non-coding RNA from Populus euphratica (Euphrates poplar), 101 nucleotides. RefSeq lists it as uncharacterized. The record is from RefSeq and is a predicted model, not a curated record. The transcript has 3 exons. NCBI's taxonomy places the organism in Eukaryota, Viridiplantae, Streptophyta, Magnoliopsida, Malpighiales, Salicaceae.
UAAAUUAACAUAAUGUAGCUUGUAAAGUAAUAGUUGUUAUCCCUAUAUUUGACACCUUAUACCAUUCUAUGACAGUCGCCCAUGUUGAUAUCAUCUGCCAU